CACGCUGGCGGCGUGCCUAACACAUGCAAGUCGAACGAGGUCCAUCCUUCGGGAGAAGACCUAGUGGCGAACGGGUGAGUAACACGUGAAGAACCUGCCCCGAAGACCGGGAUAACCCUCCGAAAGGAGAGCUAAUACCGGAUACCCCCACCGAACCGCAUGGUUUGGUGAGGAAAUGGAUUCCGCUUCGGGAGGGCUUCGCGGCCUAUCAGCUAGUUGGUGGGUAACGGCCACCAAGGCAUCGACGGGUAGCUGGUCUGAGAGGACGAUCAGCCACACUGGGACUGAGACACGGCCCAGACUCCUACGGGAGGCAGCAGUGGGGAAUCUUGCGCAAUGGGCGAAAGCCUGACGCAGCAACGCCGCGUGGGGAUGAAGGCUCUCGGGUUGUAAACCCCUUUCAGCAGGGACGAAUCAAGACGGUACCUGCAGAAGAAGCCCGGCUAACUACGUG
This 454-nucleotide ribosomal RNA is filed under the name uncultured bacterium. RNAcentral describes it as "bacterial SSU rRNA". It matches the Rfam family "Bacterial small subunit ribosomal RNA", at positions 33 to 507 of the family's 1533-position model. The record is from RNAcentral.